GAUGAACGCUGGCGGCGUGCCUAAUACAUGCAAGUCGAGCGAACAGACGAGGAGCUUGCUCCUCUGACGUUAGCGGCGGACGGGUGAGUAACACGUGGAUAACCUACCUAUAAGACUGGGAUAACUUCGGGAAACCGGAGCUAAUACCGGAUAAUAUAUUGAACCGCAUGGUUCAAUAGUGAAAGACGGUUUUGCUGUCACUUAUAGAUGGAUCCGCGCCGCAUUAGCUAGUUGGUAAGGUAACGGCUUACCAAGGCAACGAUGCGUAGCCGACCUGAGAGGGUGAUCGGCCACACUGGAACUGAGACACGGUCCAGACUCCUACGGGAGGCAGCAGUAGGGAAUCUUCCGCAAUGGGCGAAAGCCUGACGGAGCCACGCCGCGUGAGUGAUGAAGGUCUUCGGAUCGUAAAACUCUGUUAUUAGGGAAGAACAAAUGUGUAAGUAACUAUGCACGUCUUGACGGUACCUAAUCAGAAAGCCACGGCUAACUACGUG
This 497-nucleotide ribosomal RNA is filed under the name uncultured bacterium. Its description in RNAcentral is "partial 16S ribosomal RNA". It matches the Rfam family "Bacterial small subunit ribosomal RNA", at positions 28 to 507 of the family's 1533-position model. The record is from RNAcentral.